GGGCACUUGGUCGAGAUGGGAAGACAGCAGGUACCCUUAAUCGGGACCUGCAGACCUGGGUUCGACCCCCAGAGUGUCCA
Non-coding RNA from Xylariaceae sp. FL1272, 80 nucleotides. Lineage: Eukaryota; Fungi; Ascomycota; Sordariomycetes; Xylariales; Xylariaceae. The record is from the annotation of a GenBank genome assembly.